UGGGGAAUAUUGGACAAUGGGCGCAAGCCUGAUCCAGCCAUGCCGCGUGAGUGAUGAAGGCCCUAGGGUUGUAAAGCUCUUUCACCGGUGAAGAUAAUGACGGUAACCGGAGAAGAAGCCCCGGCUAACUUCGUGCCAGCAGCCGCGGUAAUACGAAGGGGGCUAGCGUUGUUCGGAUUUACUGGGCGUAAAGCGCACGUAGGCGGACUUUUAAGUCAGGGGUGAAAUCCCGGGGCUCAACCCCGGAACUGCCUUUGAUACUGGAAGUCUUGAGUAUGGUAGAGGUGGGUGGAAUUCCGAGUGUAGGAGUGAAAUUCGUAGAUAUUCGGAGGAACACCAGUGGCGAAGGCGGCUCACUGGACCAUUACUGACGCUGGGGUGCGAAGGCGUGGGGGGCAAACAGG
This 404-nucleotide ribosomal RNA is filed under the name Actinomycetes bacterium. RNAcentral describes it as "Actinobacteria bacterium partial 16S ribosomal RNA". It matches the Rfam family "Bacterial small subunit ribosomal RNA", at positions 355 to 776 of the family's 1533-position model. Lineage: Bacteria; Bacillati; Actinomycetota; Actinomycetes. The record is from RNAcentral.